CAAUUAUGUGAUAAUCAUUCCAAGCCCAAUUUUGCUCCAAAAAGCUCUAAAAUGCAUCUUCUUGCAUCCUUUGGCCUUCAAACCUGAAAACACAUAAAACUAGCUUAAAAGACUACUUUAACUAAGAAAACACCAUGGAAAUGCAUAAGAACUAGCUAACUAAGGCGCAUAAAUAUGCUCCUAUCAUAGGUGCCGCAUAUAUACCUUUACCUUGGUGAACUAGGAAUUGUAAUCAUUCUCUAAAACCAUGCCAUGUAUCCUUGUCCAUUUAGGUUCAGAAAUAGGUGCUGGAACAUCCAUUCUAGAAGCCCUAUCCUUUCCCUAAAAACCUGCCGCACCCUUUCUCCCUAUUCUCUUUGGAUUUUUGACUUCUAGAAGAUCUUUUUUCUCCAAGGCGUGUUUAUUAAUUUCCUAUACAAAUUAGGCCUUCAAAUCCUUUUCCUUUGCUACAUAGGGGCCGUGUGUUUUAACCUAUAAAUACUACAUUCUACCGCACAAAUCAUUCACCACCCUCUACCACAAUUCACUACACCAUUCACCAUAAAUCUCUCAUUGUGCCGCAGCUAAGGAAGGAGAAGCAGGAAGAAACUUGGAGCCGUGCUUGCCAUUCAAAAAGAUUGGAAUACUGGAGCGUUCUUAGGUGUAUUCUAUCUUUGAUUUCCAUGUUUCAUUAAAAUUAUCUUUGUUUAAUUGCGAACAUGAGGAACUAAUUUCUUUAUAGUUGGAGGUGAAUUCGAAGCCAUGAUUAUAUGUUUUAUAUGAAUUGAUUUCCUCCAGUUAUUGUUUCAUGAAUCGUGAAUGUGGUUUACUUAUCUGAUUUAUUAAGAACUUGUUCUUGUAUGUUCAUUAAGGUGGCCAACUUAGUUUGCAUGCAUGAAUUUGAUGCUAGAGUAUAAGGGAAUUUCACCUAAUUGUUAUGAACUUAUAUUCAUGAGUAGUAAAAGUCCCUAGUCACGAUUGUGUUAAGUAAAUCCUAGGCAAGAGUAACAUGCUUUUCAUAGUUAUGAAUGCCUCGUCAAUGCUUAUGAUUUUCAAAGAACUUAAUGACAUUUGAUAGGUAUCUCUAUCAUGCAUAUUCCAUAGUUAGGGGAUUUGAGAAGGAUAAUUUGGUUGUGAUGCGUAUACCAUCCAAUUCAAUAAAAUAAGGAAAAUCUAAUGGUUAAUUUGUGCUAUCACGGUUAACUUGGGGUGUUGUCAUUCAUGGUUUAAAGAAAUAAUAACUGGAAAUUGGUUUGUGUUGCAUAUGUCAUGUGUCGAGAAGGAUCCUCUAACUAGCCAUUCACCCAUUUAAUUCAUCAAUUUCGUCCGAAGUAUUUAGAGUCUUUGAUUUUGUUUAGUUUUACUUUAAAUUCGUCAAAAACAAUCCCCCAUUCAUUAAGUCUUGUUAGUUGAGUCUUAAUUUAUUUUCUUUUAGUCUUUUGAGUCAAGUUGAGUCUUAUUUUCGUCCAAAUCACGUUUUAGGUCUAGAAUUGAGUCUUUUUUAUUGUUUCUUGCUGUUUUGAGUUAGUUUUGAGUCUAUAGAGUCUAGUUUAGUGUUUUUGACUCUUAUUUGUGUUGAUUAGCAUCCCUAGUUAAUCCCCGGUCUAGAACGAUCCCUACUUGCUUAAUACUACAAUUGUCAUCAAUAGGGUUUAAUUUGUGUGUCAAGUUAAUUUUCACAUCACCAAGGAGGAUAAGGACUAGAAUACUUGGUAGGUUCCUAGAAGAAAGGAUAGGGACCUAUGCGGCACCUUUUUAGGAAAAUGAUGUGGCUUCUAGAACCAAGUUUUUAGGUAUCCUAGUCUGAAAAUAAUUCCCCGUUGCAGUUGGAAUUUAGCUAAAAUAGGAUUAGGAUAGGGUUAAGAUAAGAUAAGGUUUGUUUGGAUAAUGUUCCUUCCUUUUAGCUGAUUCCUUAUCUUCUAUGCCUUAAAUUAAUAUCUCCAUCUCUUUAGCACAAUCCUAGCCUCUUUUGAUCUUCAAAAACGUCCAUCCAUGUCACUCCAUGCAUGUGCUAUCCAUUCCAAGCUCAAAACUGCUCUAAAACGCUCCAAAUUACUCUUUCUUGACAACUUUGCCAAUUGGACCUACAAAAACAUGAAAAUAGCUUAACUCACUAUAAUAGACAGAAACUAACUCACUAAAUGCAAGGAAACAAACAAGCUAACAAAGUCACAUAAAUAUGCUCCUAUCAAAUUCCCCCACACUUAGCUUUUGCUAGUCCCCGAGCAAAACAAACAAAACAUAACCUAAACCUUCCAACGUUUGCCUCAGGGAUUUCCAAUAAAACAUGACAUGUUAAAAAUCACUACUCCCA
Molecule: long non-coding RNA, 2293 nt
Filed under: Malus domestica (apple)
Lineage: Eukaryota; Viridiplantae; Streptophyta; Magnoliopsida; Rosales; Rosaceae
Description: long non-coding RNA (MDOM_LNC018560)
Source: RNAcentral